AGGAUAUAAAUAAUGCUGAAGCAGAGUUACGUUUUUUUUGUUGUUGUUUUUUUUGUUUUUGUUUUUUUAGGUUUCCGUGUGUUUCUAUUGAGCUGCUCAGUGCCCGGCUUAGAAGACCAGGAAAAGGAGUCACAGGUCGUAUGCUGGAGGCUUGAGCCGCGGCACCGUGGCGCGGCUCGCCUCGCUGCGGUUGGUGGUGGCGGUGGACAUUGCAGCGCGGCUGGAGGGGUAGGAAGAAGAAGAUAGUUUUGGGAUAGAUAGAGGGUCCUUAGACAAGGUGCAAGACAAACAGAAGAGGGCAUGUGGGGUCAAACUCGCUAGCUGCCUGCCUGAUUUUUCUGCACACAGGUGAGAUAUUCCUGCACAUCCUCUGGUGACCCCAGAAUGAGGGGGACUCGCUGGUGAAUUGCCUCGGGCUUCACGUCCAGUACAGGCUGGGUCCCCGUGGUCGCCAAGCCUCCUGCCUGCUCAAUGAUGUAGGCCACGGGAUUGCAUUCAUACAGGAGCCGGAGCUGUGGAGGAACAGAGGCAGGUGACAGAGCAAGAGCCUGUCUCAAAAACGAAGAAAGUGUCCAAGCAAGGCCACUGUUUCCUGCACGAGGGGUCCCAGCCGAGGGCAGAAACUGGGUUGAAAUCAGCCUGUGCCCUGCUUGCCAGUCUCUGCACAAGAUCCAGGGCUGCUGUUCAGAGGAAGGAAGGCCUUCUCUAACCCUCCUGCAGGCACAUGAGAACUGGCAGGAGGCUGCCUGUGUCCUGACAAAUUCACCAAGAGCCUAGCAACAUGAAGAGAGAUGCCAGGAAGAAGAGAGAAGCCAGGAAACAAGCCAACCGCACAAUCCCCACAUCAGAGCAGGAGAAGAUGGGGGCCUGCUGGCAGAGCUGGGGCUUGGCUGUGGUCACUCUGAACCUGCUCUUUGGUGUUUUCAUGAGUGGUGGGAAGAAUAGGGACCAUAUGGAGCCCACACAGGAAGCUCUAGCAGUAACACAGCAAGCAGGAAGACAAUUCUAAGGAAGCAGCCCAUAGUCUUCUUUCUUUUCCUGUGCAUCUUCCACUGUCAGUGAGGCUCCUCAUUUAUGGUGAACCCAACUGUGUGUAUCUCCCAAGUUCUCACCCGCAGAUUAAUGUUUUCAGGAAGAUAGGCCAUCAACAGUGAGAGGAAGAAGUUACAUUGUCGUAUGAGGGAUGCAUUUUAACCAUUAAUUUGUGGUACAGGCUGGGCGCAGUGGCUUAUGCAUGUAAUCCCAGCACUUUGGGAGGCCGAGGUGGGUGGAUCACGAGGUCAGGAGAUCGAGACCAUCCUGGCUAACAUGGUGAAACCCCGUCUUUACUAAAUAUACAAAAAAUUGGCCGGGCGUGGUGGUGGGCACCUGUAGUCCCAGCUACUCGGGGGGCUGAGGCAGGAGAAUGGUGUGAACCCGGGAGGCAGAGCUUGCAGUGAGCCGAGAUCGCGCCACUGCACUCCAGCCUGGAUGACAGAGCAAGACUCCAUCUCAAAAAAAAAAAAAAUGUGUGGUACAGUUAUUUUGUUUAUGUUAGUGAUUCAAUCAUAGAAACUAUUCAGUUUCUGGUAUCCCACUCUUACCUGGAGAAAAGAGGAAGCCGCUUUCAUCAGACACUGUGUUCACCCAGCGUAAGGAAAAAGUUGGUAAAAUCUAAAGGAAUCCUCAGACAUAUUAAUAAAAGUGUGCCCAGUCCCUCUCCACAACCCAUGUAGCCACUGUGGUCAGUACCUGCAGGGCAUCUCUCAAAUACCCCUAUGUCUAGUUCUGGUGAUAUCAGUCACUAAAAAUGGGAUCAGCUUGUGGCAGAUACCACCUUAAAUGCUCAUGUCUGUCUCAGUCACUAGGAGGAAAACCAGAGCCUGGAAACCAGAUCCAUUUUGAUGAAUGUCCAAGAUUUUGAGAGUGAAAAACUCCAAAAUGACAGCUCACAGUUGGCAGCUAGGCCAGAAGGUUCCCAAGGAACAUCAGAGGUAUUCCCGGAAUAUAAAGAGGCAAGGCCACAGAAUGACUCCACAUAGCAGAGGUGUUGCUACGAGAGGUGACACUGUCCCUGUCAGAAACAAGUCAGUGCCAAGGAGACUCAAUAACAAAAACAACUAAACAAUCCUUUCCUGCCUAACAUGAGUGACAACUGCUUCUAUAUCAGUGACUUCAAUCUCUCUGCCUCCUAGAUAAAAAUGAUUAAGGUAACUAGUCAUUAAUUGCACCCACUUCCAGACAAUAUCCAAUCCAGACUGACCCUCUCUUCCUCAAAUCCUCUUUAGAAUUACCAAGCAAAACCCCAAGUCCUAUAAGCCCAUCUCAACUCCCUCCUUAUGCAACACCCCAUGGUUCCUCUGCAGUGCCUGCUAAAUCUAACUUCGGGUUAUUACAGGUGCACGAGUGAUGGUCUUUGACUCAUGACCUUUAACUUGCUGUGGGUGUCUGUUGCUUUGGAGCAGCCCAGCGCUGAUUUCUACUUCUGAAAAGUGCCCUGACUUGCUUUGAAUUGGAUGCCAGUCUAGGAAGACUCAUAUCUGGGCCUCUUGUAGGCCAAGGUCAGGCAUGUACCUUAGCUUGAAAAUGAGAUACGCCUCCCUAGGAUUUGAAACCUGAGUGAGAGGCGCAGCACUGGGGGUGGUGUCCAGGCCAGACCGGCCAUGUUGCGAGACCACUGCCGUGCUUCCUGCUUCCUGGUCCUCUAGUCCUGCCCGUUCCUAGCCAGGGUCCUCAGCUUUCCCAUCAAUGCAGUAACUCCUUUCACUUAAUUGAGCCGGGGUCAAUUUUGCUGUUGCUUUCCAGCAAAGAGGAUGGAGAUGCACAACUGUCAUCUGAACAGUGGCACUCACUCACCACCUGAACAGAGGCGCUCAUUCUGCAUCAGGGCGGGUGAAAACGCCUUACGUUGAUCCACUCCUGGGGCUGGGGCCGGGACACUCAGGCCCUGGGAAUAUUGUUUCCACAGUUUUAUUAACCUGGAAAAUGUGUUCCUUUGUUCUGAUUGUGUGGUCACCAACAACGGCUGAUUUUUAAUAUGGGCUCUCAUACACCCUGUUACCGAUUAUCAGACACCAGAUCCUGGUCACAAGAAACAACAGCUCCCAUUUGUAAAUGAAUGCCUUGACAUUGAGCUUUACCCACAAUGGAGAGUUGGUUAACAGGAGGUGGUCUCUCUGUGCCUGAACAAUAUGUGUGUUCUGACAAAAUCAAAUCACCAGCCCUGCAAUCCCACAGACCUCACAGGCUCAGUUUGACCCACCAGGGAAUGCUGCCUCCAUAAGCUACUGGCCGCCUUCCAUGGCAUUUCUAUCUGUGACAACUGCCACAAGCUACCUCCGCUGGAUGUCAAACAGGCACUAAGCUUUGUGCACUGGGUCUUUGCUCAAAUGUCCUUUUUAGUAGGGAGAUGUGAUCCAAAGGGGUUUCAGGCUAAUACAUAGAGAUCCGGAAAGAUGCUAUGGUUCAUCUCUUCCUUCUGUCAUGUUGACAAGCUCUGGUGCCCACCUAUGUCCAGACUGGGCCCUGCUUUCAUGACUGAGGGCAGAAAACAGAGGCUCUGUCUGUGCCUGGGAAUCUUUGAAUUGGGUCCCUGAGUCAAAGCAUCUCCCAUCACCUUUAGAACUGCUCAGAAUGUUCAUGGAGAUAUUUUGCUUGUACUCAAGAGCAGUUGUGUUGGAAAUUUAGUGUGGUAGAGUAAUUAAAGCACAGACUGCUGGAGCAUGACUCCUGACACCAGUCACUAGCUUGACCUUGCGCAAGUUACUCACUCUCUCUACGCCUCACUUUCCCCAUCUGAAAAUGGGAAUAAUUGUAGGACAUAUCUCAUAGGGCCACUGUGACAUUUAAAUGCAUUAAUAGAUGUAAAUUUCAUAGGACAGGUACUUUACAUUCCUACCACUUACGAAGAAUUAUCUAACUCUUAGCUGUUAUUCUACAACAACUUUAGAAAGGGUGUUUUAUUGUCUGAGGGUAAUAUUUGCAAGCCAUAGAAUUUCUCAGGGUUUGCCAGCUUCUUUGAACAUAAAGGGAAAUUGGGGCAUUAGCAAACUGACACAGCAAUGGGUCUUGGUCUAAUGGGCAUACAGGUGAAAAGAUUCUAUUUGAAAAGUUUCUGGGUUUCCAUACUGUAAACUCUGUUUUGUAAGUUAACUCCAUGUCAUUUUGAAAUUUUGCAAACCCCUCUCUCCACACAUGUGCACUAACACGUGAACUCCACAAGGGCUGUCAUGUGUGUUUGAUCAAUGCUCCAUCUCCGCUGUCUGGAGUGGUGCUUUGGGACACAGUAGAUGCUCAAUAAACAGCUGUAAAUCAAAAACUUAAA
Molecule: long non-coding RNA, 4303 nt
Filed under: Homo sapiens (human)
Lineage: Eukaryota; Metazoa; Chordata; Mammalia; Primates; Hominidae
Description: prostate cancer associated transcript 7, transcript variant 7 (PCAT7)
Source: RNAcentral